AUUGAACGCUGGCGGCAGGCUUAACACAUGCAAGUCGAGCGGGGUGAUGGUGCUUGCACUAUCACUUAGCGGCGGACGGGUGAGUAAUGCUUAGGAAUCUGCCUAUUAGUGGGGGACAACAUCUCGAAAGGGAUGCUAAUACCGCAUACGUCCUACGGGAGAAAGCAGGGGAUCACUUGUGACCUUGCGCUAAUAGAUGAGCCUAAGUCGGAUUAGCUAGUUGGUGGGGUAAAGGCCUACCAAGGCGACGAUCUGUAGGGGGUCUGAGAGGAUGAUCCGCCACCAUGGGACUGAGACACGGCCCAGACUCCUACGGGAGGCAGCAGUGGGGAAUAUUGGACAAUGGGGGGAACCCUGAUCCAGCCAUGCCGCGUGUGUGAAGAAGGCCUUAUGGUUGUAAAGCACUUUAAGCGAGGAGGAGGCUCUUUUGGUUAAUACCCAAGAUGAGUGGACGUUACUCGCAGAAUAAGCACCGGCUAACUCUGUGCCAGCCGCCGCCGUAA
RNAcentral lists this ribosomal RNA (503 nucleotides) under uncultured bacterium. RNAcentral's name for it is "partial 16S ribosomal RNA". It matches the Rfam family "Bacterial small subunit ribosomal RNA", at positions 30 to 523 of the family's 1533-position model. The record is from RNAcentral.